GUAAUUGUAUACUUAGCUGGAGUUUGUGUCUGGUUCAUCCACUGGAAUGGCGACAACUUACAUUUCCAACAUUAUAGAUCUGAUGGGACAGUGAUAAAGUGGAACUUAUGUUCUGCCAGGGGGAUUACCUAUCUAGUGUCUGGUAUCUCAGAUACUCCAAAGAAGAUCCCCAAAAUAUGGUAAACAUGAAUACCAAAGUAAUGUCCAAGUACUGCAUCAGUCUAUACAUGC
Pelobates cultripes (western spadefoot toad) is the source of this 231-nucleotide non-coding RNA. Lineage: Eukaryota; Metazoa; Chordata; Amphibia; Anura; Pelobatidae. The record is from the annotation of a GenBank genome assembly.